This 253-nucleotide ribosomal RNA is filed under the name uncultured bacterium. RNAcentral's name for it is "partial 16S ribosomal RNA". It matches the Rfam family "Bacterial small subunit ribosomal RNA", at positions 524 to 776 of the family's 1533-position model. The record is from RNAcentral.
UACGUAGGGUGCGAGCGUUAAUCGGAAUUACUGGGCGUAAAGUGUGCGCAGGCGGCGCUGCAAGUCGAGUGUGAAAUCCCCGAGCUUAACUUGGGAAUUGCGCUCGAAACUACGGCGCUGGAGUAUGGCAGAGGAAGGUGGAAUUCCACGUGUAGCGGUGAAAUGCGUAGAGAUGUGGAGGAACACCGAUGGCGAAGGCAGCCUUCUGGGCCAAUACUGACGCUCAUGCACGAAAGCGUGGGGAGCAAACAGG